CUUACAUCAGUCAAUAAAGCGACCUUCCCCUCGAUCAAUAGAAUUCUUUAGCCCGUCUUCUAUUUUCGUAAACCAUAUAUAAGAGUCAAACCUUCCAUUUGCAAAGGGAAUUUAAUAAAAUGUGACAUGGAAUACCAAAACUCAAUUUCGAGUUGCGACUCUAGAUAAUAAAUAAUCUCUUUUCAAAAAGUCACUUUAUUUGAGAAAUUCUUCUAACUCAACCUCGUAAUAAGGAUUGCGGUAAAAAGAGGUGUCACAGGAGCAUGGUUUGAGCUCCGUUUUGCUGGACUCACUGGCAGGUCACCGGAUUAACUUUCUCGUCAAAUUGAAGGUGAAGUCUGGAUGCGGUUGGUCUAGGUGGCUGUGUAUCUAUGUGUGUCACUAUUAAGAGAUGAAGAUGGAUUUAUUGGGGCGAGAGUGACAGAGGAGUUCUCAGAGAUGGUGGGGUGCUGCCCUCAUUCUCCCAAAGUGAAAGAGAUGGUGGAAUUAUGGGUUUCUGCGGAGGGUGUCCUUCAGAGUAGGGGUCGCUAGUUUUUCUUCAGGUCUAUGCGGCUCCCCCCCUCUUUUAGGUCUAGGGUUCUUUAAGAAGAACGAAGGGUUAU
Molecule: long non-coding RNA, 602 nt
Filed under: Nicotiana benthamiana
Lineage: Eukaryota; Viridiplantae; Streptophyta; Magnoliopsida; Solanales; Solanaceae
Description: long non-coding RNA (NBEN_LNC012351)
Source: RNAcentral